RNAcentral lists this ribosomal RNA (497 nucleotides) under uncultured bacterium. RNAcentral describes it as "partial 16S ribosomal RNA". It matches the Rfam family "Bacterial small subunit ribosomal RNA", at positions 28 to 507 of the family's 1533-position model. The record is from RNAcentral.
GAUGAACGCUGGCGGCGUGCCUAAUACAUGCAAGUCGAGCGAACGGACGAGAAGCUUGCUUCUCUGAUGUUAGCGGCGGACGGGUGAGUAACACGUGUAUAACCUACCUAUAAGACUGGGAUAACUUCGGGAAACCGGAGCUAAUACCGGAUAAUAUUUUGAACCGCAUGGUUCAAAAGUGAAAGACGGUCUUGCUGUCACUUAUAGAUGGAUACGCGCUGCAUUAGCUAGUUGGUAAGGUAACGGCUUACCAAGGCAACGAUGCAUAGCCGACCGGAGAGGGUGAUCGGCGACACUGGAGGUGAGACACGGUCCAGAGUCCUACGGGAGGCAGCAGUAGGGAAUCUUCCGCAAUGGGCGAAAGCCUGGCGGAGCAGCGCCGCGUGAGUGAUGAAGGUCUUCGGAUCGUAAAACUCUGUUAUUAGGGAAGAACAUAUGUGCAAGUAGCUGUGCACAUCUUGACGGUACCUAAUCAGAAAGCCACGGCUAACUACGUG